Long non-coding RNA from Lolium rigidum, 484 nucleotides. RefSeq lists it as uncharacterized. The record is from RefSeq and is a predicted model, not a curated record. NCBI's taxonomy places the organism in Eukaryota, Viridiplantae, Streptophyta, Magnoliopsida, Poales, Poaceae. The transcript is spliced from 3 exons.
CAAGGCCAUCGCCCCUCCUCGUUCUCCUCAUCUUCAACAGUAGAACGGUGGGCAGGUGGAAAGGAAUGGUCUCGGCACAGCCAGAUUCACCUCCAGGAAUUAUUAUAUUUGGAAAAGGACAUGGAUGCUCUAGAAGAUAUGCACCCUCAAGGAGAACAUGUCCGGUUGCUCUAUCUCCAGCUCCGGCCAGGUACUUCUCUUCCCUUAUGUUAUUCUGGCCGUCAACGGGUUGUUAGGCUGCUGUGUUCUUGUACUCAUAAUACUCCAUAGUCUCAAUUAAUGUGAACAAUUGAUUUUGAGAGAUUCCUUUUAACAUCUUUAAACCAUCUGAUGUUUUCUCAUCCUUUUGUUCGUACUAUUGAAAUAGUAAUUGUACCUACUCUAUGUUUAUUCAAGAACUGUGGCAUUAUUGUAUGAUUUUGGCUAAAGAUCUGGUUGAGUAGGUUUAAAUGGCCAAUUUCAAUCCUUGGAGCUUGCUAUUUUG